UGAGCUUGGGAGUACAAUGGACAACAUGCCUCCAUGUGGAUUAGUUGGUUUUGGACUGUUUUUCUUGGUUUUGACCAUCAAAACCGAAGUUAUUUCACAUGGAGGACACAUUUAAACGCGUACUCUUUUUGAGAUGUCUGGCGAGUGAACGAUGGUCCGUUAUAGCCGGCGUGCCCAAGCGGACCGCCGACAACAACAAAGGAGAGAAGAACAAGAGGUUGAGCUCUCCUUCAGCCUGGGCAGUGUAAGGACGAACCACCACAAAGUGUCUUCCUGGGACCGCACUGUACAGCUUCCUCCUGGUACCUAGGGCAUCUCCAUGACUGCUGGGACUGACAAGAGCAG
Long non-coding RNA from Syngnathoides biaculeatus (alligator pipefish), 345 nucleotides. RefSeq lists it as uncharacterized. The transcript has 3 exons. NCBI's taxonomy places the organism in Eukaryota, Metazoa, Chordata, Actinopteri, Syngnathiformes, Syngnathidae. The record is from RefSeq and is a predicted model, not a curated record.